AAAAGUUAGGGUUUUAGCUCUUAUCAUCACAUGACAUAACCAUGGCAGAAGAGAAAGCAGCUGAACCCACCGAGUUCAACCAGGGGCGACUCGACCCAGUCUCAGAAGACAUGGAUCUCGUGGAGGAAUCGGCCGCGAAUGCCGCGAAACGAGCAAGGGAGGAGGAAGGAAAAGACGAUGUGUCGAAGAAGCAGAAGGUGGACAAGUCAGUUGAGGAAGAGAGAUUAGAGAAUCUUGAGGGAGAGCAUAAGGAAGACGACGAGGAAGGGGAGGAAGAGAAGGAGGAGACAGCUCCGGUUAGUUUGGGUCCGAAGAGUUUCGGAUCCGCGGUGGAGAUGUUUGAUUACUUCUAUAAUUUCCUUCAUUAUUGGCCUCCAAAUAUCAAUGUCAACAAGGUAAUAUUUUGAUAUUUUGGUGAUUAAAUUAAGAGUUAUCGUCGACGAUAACCUUGAAUUUCAAGUUUUUGGGUUGUGAAUAGACGUAAAAACAAUGAGAAUUAAGUUAAUGUGGAACUGGUUUCAUUGCUUGGGUAUGAUGAAGUGUCAUGAGUUUUUCCCCUGUUUGGUUGCUUAGAAAGUAGGGGUAGGAUAAGGAGAAAGAAGGGAAGUUUUUUGGUUUUGAACGUGGUAAACAUGUAAUUGAUUAAAUUCACUGCACUAAUUGGGAUUAAUGUAGCAUGAAAGGUUGAGAAAUUAUUGAAAUGUCUACACAGUGCUGUAGUAGUCUUGCGAAUUAGAUGAUUGCUCAUUGGACUGAACUUAUCAGAUCCAAGAAGAGUAAUGAAAAGUAAAACCUCCCACGUGGUAGUUGUUAAUGAAUAUAGCAAAGUGUAGGUUUUAGGGGCUGCUGCAUUUGUUUUUGUAAAUCAUUUUCAAUGGAUAAAAUCAUUAUACAAUGAUAUUGACUCCCAUUAUAAUCUCUGCCUAUCUUUCACUAGCUCACUUCCUAGACCUAGAACACACAUUUUAAUCGCUAGAUAGAUGCGCCAAAAUCCUUGAAGUUUCUGAACUUAUAAUUAUGUAAUCAUUUACUCAAGCGUGACAUGUAACUUUCAAUACACUCAUUUCACACUCUGCUUGUGUUAAUGAAAGAUCUAGUUGAAGUUAGAUCAAUAAUGUUACUGUGAAAGGCAUGAAAUGAAAUCCAUGUGAUUCCUAUUAGAAAGCAGCAUCUUUUAUGGAAUAAGUGCAAACUUAAUCUUCCUGGUUCUUAGCUCCAGUAAAACAUGACUGUGCAGUAAUUCCCUUCUCAACUCUCAAAUCUUAGUCACUGGUCUAUUAUUGCCCUGAAUGCACAAAUAUAAUGUCUUAGAGUUGUGAUUUAUUAUCAUCAUAGAUGAAUUUUGAUGGCUGACUGGCUGGAUGAUGCAAAUGUUUCACCUGCUGAUUUUGAAGCCUUUUGUUAUCCAUAUAAAUAUGUUAUUUGAUUCUUGGUAAACAUUACAGUAUGAGCAGAUGGUGUUGCUAGACUUGCUUAAGAAGGGCCAUUCAGAACCUGAGAAAAAGAUUGGUGUUGGAAUCCAAGCUUUCCAAGUCCGAUAUCAUCCAAUGUGGAAGAGUAGAUGCUUCUUUCUGAUUAGGGAUGAUGAUUCUGUUGAUGAUUUCAGCUUCAGGAAGUGUGUGGAUAAAAUACUUCCACUGCCUGAGGACAUGAAAAUAAAAUCUGAUGGAAACAAUAAGGGUUAUGGUGGAAAAGGUAGUGGUGGUGGAAGAGGAGGUCGAGGUCGAGGCCGAGGCCGAGGCCGUGGCCAUGGCCGUGGAAGAGGUGGUAAAUCAAGAAACUGAAGCAUUUUCUUUGUUUUACUCAGGGUAAGAGGCAUGAGGAAGGAAGAAAAAAAAAUAGAAUCACUUGUUUUUCUUCUGUAUUUACCCAGCUAAGCUACUAUUUUUGUCCUAGUUUUGACUCUCAAACUUCAAUGGUUUCUGAAUAGUGUUGGAGACCCUUAGUUUUGGCUAUUUUAUCUCUUGCUGUUUUGAGUUGUGCAUUCUCUGCCACUGUUUUCCGACCAUAUUCCUUCCUCCAAAUGCAAUUUCAACUGUCGUGUAUUGCUAUUUUCAGAACUUCAAAUACGUUUUUAGGUUAGACAUCAGAGCUGUUCCGCAGUUCAUUGCCGUUGAAAGGAUUCUGGAUUUGAGUUUAAAUUGCUUAAAGUGAGAUUCCAAAUGUAAGGCGGUUUGGUUGGUUAAAAUUAUA
This 2193-nucleotide unclassified non-coding RNA is filed under the name Hevea brasiliensis (rubber tree). Lineage: Eukaryota; Viridiplantae; Streptophyta; Magnoliopsida; Malpighiales; Euphorbiaceae. The record is from RNAcentral.